GGGGAUGUUCUGGUUUUGACAGCAAAUGAUGCCGGAAGGUAAGCACGUUGAGCCUCGUGUGCCGGCUCGCAAAUCUCAGCGCUCACGCCAUAACUGGCAACAACAACUAUGCACUCGCUGCGUAAUCUUACCAAGUAAGAUGCCUUAAUCGCCCGGCCCAGGGCCGUUGCGACGAGUAUCCCGCAGGGCUUUACGCUCUCUCUGUCCUGCAACCGGGGUAUCAUCCAAGAGGGCUGCCGGCGCCGACUCCGCUACCGCGCCCCAAGACUUGGCGGAUACGGUCGAAAUGGCCCGCCUUCCGGCAGUUUCGAUCCGACAACCAAAGGCAGGAUAAGCGUGUAGAAAGCCUUUUGACGCUUUGUUUGGACGGCGGUUCGACUCCGCCCAUCUCCACA
Molecule: transfer-messenger RNA, 395 nt
Filed under: bovine gut metagenome
Rfam family: transfer-messenger RNA
About the family: Bacterial tmRNA, also known as 10Sa RNA or SsrA, is named for its dual tRNA and mRNA-like properties. Its role is to liberate the mRNA from a stalled ribosome.
Source: RNAcentral